UUGAAAGGGAAACGAUUGAAGUUAGUCAUGCUGGUGGGAAUCAACUUAGGGGAAACUCUAGGUGCACUUCUUCGCUUGGCAGGUUAACGUCGAUCUUGAAUGCCAUAAAAUAAUUGGGGGAAGGUAGCUCCUUCGGGAGUGUUAUAGCCCUUGAUAGAUGUGAUGUUUGGGGUCGAGGAUUGCAACGGAUACCCUUUGGGGCUAGCCGCCUGAUCUCUAAUCGGUGUUGGGUUACGGAUAGCAUGCUGACCGUGAUCUAAUUACUGGUUAAAAGGUUAGAGCGUGCAUAAAUUCGUUAAGGAUGUUGACGUA
Molecule: ribosomal RNA, 312 nt
Filed under: uncultured Glomeromycotina
Lineage: Eukaryota; Fungi; Glomeromycota
Description: LSU rRNA
Source: RNAcentral